Molecule: RNase P RNA, 392 nt
Filed under: Sporolactobacillus spathodeae
Lineage: Bacteria; Bacillati; Bacillota; Bacilli; Caryophanales; Sporolactobacillaceae
Description: Bacterial RNase P class B
Rfam family: Bacterial RNase P class B
About the family: Ribonuclease P (RNase P) is a ubiquitous endoribonuclease, found in archaea, bacteria and eukarya as well as chloroplasts and mitochondria. Its best characterised activity is the generation of mature 5'-ends of tRNAs by cleaving the 5'-leader elements of precursor-tRNAs.
Source: RNAcentral
GUGUUCGGGUGAUCGCUGUAUUCCUUUGAGAAUAUAGAGGAAAGUCCAUGCUCGCACGGUCUGUGACGACCGUAGUGUUCGUGCCUGGCGAAGUCAUAAGCCAGGGUAGUCCGGAGCAAUCUGGAUUAACGGCAGAAGAAAGGCCUGUGUCCGUUUCGGCGGAUAUGGCUGACUAUUCUUGAAAGUGCCAUAGUGACGAUGUCUUUCGGAAACGAAAGAAGUGGAACGCGGUAAACCCCUCGAGCGGGAAACUCAAACUUGGUAGAGGAACCCUUUGGAAGGAAUCGAACGGAAAAAGGGACAGAUAUUUCUGUAGAUAGAUGAUUGCCGCUUUUGUACGAGGAGCAUUUGCUCCGGAUGAAGUGCGAAAGUACAAAACAUGGCUUACAGAA